Peromyscus maniculatus bairdii (prairie deer mouse) is the source of this 107-nucleotide small nuclear RNA. Lineage: Eukaryota; Metazoa; Chordata; Mammalia; Rodentia; Cricetidae. The record is from Ensembl.
GUGCUUGCUUUGGCAGCCCAUAUACUAAACUUGGAAUCAUACAGAGAAGAUUAACAUGGCCGCUGCCCAAGGAUGACACGUAAAUUUAUGAGACGUUCCAUAGUUAA